GUCAGUGUUUGCUGCGUAUAAUAAAAUAUUUUCUAGAGCAUCGCGGCUCUGAUUUUUCUUUUUCCAUCGUGAAAGUAGAGUCUUAACAAUUGUUCGCCGUAAAUUAUUCACGGUCGCGUUACUAUUUUUAUUUUUAAUUUUUUUUUAAUUGCUCGAUAUAUUCGGGAUUAGAGUCAAAGCACCACUGAAGAGGAGUUUUGGGCGUUGCUCCAUAAGGAAAGAGUAUGAAUUUUUUGAUUGCCGAGUUCCUGGAUAUCCUGAUGAUGGCUUUCUUCACGACUUCCGUCUUGAUGAAUUUCUUCACGACUUCAGUCCUACAAGGCAGCCUCCUACCUGGUGUUGUCCAUCCUCCUACUUGACUGUCGGAAGAAGAGUAUAUCUGCGAACGGUGAGUCGCAUGUUUUAUGGUUCCUCUGGUGCCCAAUCAUGUCGUAGGACGAAUGGUCCGAAUCGACACGGGCUACUAGUUGUAUA
Long non-coding RNA from Osmia lignaria (orchard mason bee), 474 nucleotides. RefSeq lists it as uncharacterized. The record is from RefSeq and is a predicted model, not a curated record. Lineage: Eukaryota; Metazoa; Arthropoda; Insecta; Hymenoptera; Megachilidae.